GAUGAACGCUGGCGGCGUGCCUAAUACAUGCAAGUCGAGCGAACAGACGAGGAGCUUGCUCCUCUGACGUUAGCGGCGGACGGGUGAGUAACACGUGGAUAACCUACCUAUAAGACUGGGAUAACUUCGGGAAACCGGAGCUAAUACCGGAUAAUAUAUUGAACCGCAUGGUUCAAUAGUGGAAGACGGUUUUGCUGUCACUUAUAGAUGGAUCCGCGCCGCAUUAGCUAGUUGGUAAGGUAACGGCUUACCAAGGCGACGAUGCGUAGCCGACCUGAGAGGGUGAUCGGCCACACUGGAACUGAGACACGGUCCAGACCCCUACGGGAGGCAGCAGUAGGGAAUCUUCCGCAAUGGGCGAAAGCCUGACGGAGCAACGCCGCGUGAGUGAUGAAGGUCUUCGGAUCGUAAAACUCUGUUAUUAGGGAAGAACAAAUGUGUAAGUAACUAUGCACGUCUUGACGGUACCUAAUCAGAAAGCCACGGCUAACUACGU
This 496-nucleotide ribosomal RNA is filed under the name uncultured bacterium. Its description in RNAcentral is "partial 16S ribosomal RNA". It matches the Rfam family "Bacterial small subunit ribosomal RNA", at positions 28 to 506 of the family's 1533-position model. The record is from RNAcentral.